UGCCAUGGCAGGGACACCUCCCACUGUCCCAGACUGCUGCAAGCCCUGUCCAACCUGGCCUUGGGCACUGCCAGGGAUCCAGGGAUAGCCACAGCUUCUCUGGGAAUUCCUUCCCAGCCCCUCCUCAAUUCCUUCCCAAGAUCCAGUUUAAAUUUGGUUUUGAAGAUCUCCCAUUGGAAUGAUUUCUCCCCCUUGAAGCUACAAUAAUUUUCUUUGGAAUUGUAACAGUUGCAAAGAAGCAAACAAAAAAAGCAGCUUUUCAAACAAUCAGGACAAAUUCUCUGAUUAACCUCACCAUGCUUAUCCCCCCUGCAUAUUUAAUUAACGCUUUUUCUGAGAUUGGUUUAAAUGCGUGACCAGAAAUGAGACUAUUUCCCUGAAACAGGAAAACCACUCAGAUUUCUGAGGAAGUUUGAACACUUUAACCUGCUCUGUGUUCCCCAGGUGCUGAGGAGGCACCUGAGUGGUGCCACUUCACAUCCAGGAAUGAGAGCAAGAUUCCCAGACAAAUCCAGGGAAAUUGUGCUGCUCUCCUGCAGUCACCAGCCUGUAAUGGGGAGCAGAACUUGUCCCCAAAUUAGCUGAAAUUAAUCUGCUGCUAAUGUCCUUGGGCUGAUUUAGCCAAUAAAUGCAAAUCAGUGACCACUCACCAUUACUGCAACAGAACUGGGAUUUAAAGCAGAACCGGGAUUAAAGAAAGGCUCUGCAUUUUCAGCUGCCUGCAAUUGUAGCCUAAUUAAAUUUCUUUAAUGCAGCCAGAAAUUAAAGGGAAGCCUCGUUAGUGUUUUUGGGAUGAGGUGGAGUUUGAGGUAAAGACAGGAAGGGUUUUGAGCUUCCAGUCCCAGCUCUUAGCUGGUGUUUUAGGGUUAAAAAGUGGCAGAGAGAUGAAAAGUGAAUUAUUUCAGUUUUUGGCCUGGCCUAGGGGGUGUCACUCAUCAUCUGACUGGUGACAGAAUGUGUGGUCACAGCUGGCCCGGGCAGGUGGCAGAGCUCCCGGCAGAUGUUUGCAGCUGCAGAGCACAGCUGGACACAGCCCCACGUGUGGCUGGGUAAGAAAGCAGCCUAACAGAGGAUUUCCAGGAGAACCAAAAACCAAAUCCCAGCUUGAUGAAGACCCCUGGAGAAGUCCUGGCCCUUGUUCCCUUUUGUGUUGAUCAAGCACACCCCACUCCUGAGCAGAAAAGCAGAAUUUAAAAGGAAAUUUCAGCAUUUUCCAUCAGUCGUGAUUCUCUUUGGGAAAGCUUUGAAACAGGCAGAGAAAAACCUCUUUUCCCUGUGUGCUCCCAAAUCAAGGCAGUUUGGAAGAGACAGAAGGGGAUUCAAUUUAGCCAACUCAGCUCGUGCAGCAGAUGUCAAAGCACGGAGCUCGUUUGUCAUCAGCCUUCGUGGGGAAAAGUUUGCUCUCAGAAACCACUGAAGAAAACAACCUUGCUUGUAUAACAAGCCUCGUUGGCUGCUGGAUUUUCAAGCAGAUGCCUCCUUUCCUCAGAUCAAAUAGUUGAAAUAUCAUCCCUAGCCAGGUGUUAUCUGCACAGGUUUUAUUGGAAAAGGAGGAGUUGUUGUUGCACCUGGAGGAUGAUGGUUGUGCACCCCAAGCCCCGACUCAGGAAUUGGGCUGAGCUCUGGAUUUGGGAAGAGUCAGACAGGAAAGGAACCCAUCCGACUCUGGCUCCUGGGAGAAGCAUCCCAAGUGUGGAAAAAUUUGCAUCCAAGAAAAAUAAUUGCUGGCUGAGGCUUUACUGAGCUGCUCCUGAGAGGUUCAGUGACCUCUGGGCUGUGGGAAUUGAGUGAAAAACACUGGGAGAAUUUGCUCUGCUGGGGAAACAUCCACACGAACCCAACAAACACCAGGAGCUCUUGGAGAUCUGCCUCCCUGGGCCUGUCUCACUUGAAUGCAGUUGGAAGGUAAAAACAAACUUCAAAAUGUCCAAAUAAUCCUAAAAGGUUCUCACUGCAGAGCCCCCAGAUUCUUGAUAUAACAAAAUUCACAUUGGAUGUCAAAGCCCAGCAACUGGUUUGUGGUUGCAUUAAAUCCAGGGCAGUCCUGGAACAGAAAUCCAAGGAACAGACACUUUCUGAAGGCUGUAAUUGCAAGGAUUUUCUCCUUCUGUCCUUUUGGAUGUAAAAUGAACAGAAUAUAUUUUGGAGAUAAUUUUCCAAAUGUUUCAGUUAAUUUUUCCCUUGUGCAAGUUGAUUUUAAACUUACCCAUGUUAAUUAUUACACAUGCAAAGGCUUGACACCUUUCACUACACCAGGCUGUUCAGAUAAGUCAGAUAAUCAUAUUUUUAAAUUUUUUUAGCAUGUCACAUUGUAGUCAACAAUUACUGAGUAGCUUUGUUGUGGUCAAGUGCCACAAAGCAGCAGCACAAACAAAAAUUUCCAAAAUUCAUCAACAAAUAUAUUGUCCUAAAAAAGUAGGCUAAAACCCAAGGCCAUUUGUACAUGAGAAGGUUCCCUACCAGAGCUGCUAGAUCACUAUUAAUUUAUUUGACAGCUUUUAGGCUGAGUUCAGAUAUUAGAGCUGUCAUUGUAAAAUACUUCCAUUUUUCCUUCAACGCUGCUUUGAGAUGCUGCUGCUUUGAAGCUGUGUCAAAGUAGCUCUGAAUCAGGAGAAACUUUCCAUUUUAUUUUUUUGUAAGUUGAAAGUCUGAAGA
This is a long non-coding RNA of Passer domesticus (house sparrow), 2655 nucleotides long. RefSeq lists it as uncharacterized. The transcript has 7 exons. The record is from RefSeq and is a predicted model, not a curated record. Lineage: Eukaryota; Metazoa; Chordata; Aves; Passeriformes; Passeridae.